AUUGCUCCUUAUUGCCCCUGACUAUAAGGUAUUUAGUGUUCAGCAGAUUGCUCCUUAUUGCCCCUGACUAUAAGGUAUUUAGUGUUCAGCAGAUUGUUCCUUAUUGCCCCUGACUAUAAGGUAUUUAGGGUUCAGCAGAUUGCUCCUUAUUGCCCCUGACUAUAAGGUAUUUAGUGUUCAGCAGAUUGCCCCUGACUAUAAGGUAUUUAGUGUUCAGCAGAUUGCUCCUUAUUGCCCCUGACUAUAAGGUAUUUAGUGUUCAGCAGAUUGCUCCUUAUUGCCCCUGACUAUAAGGUAUUUAGUGUUCAGCAGAUUGUUCCUUAUUGCCCCUGACUAUAAGGUAUUUAGGGUUCAGCAGAUUGCUCCUUAUUGCCCCUGACUCCCAGGUAUUUAGUGUUCAGCAGAUUGCUCCUUAUUGCCCCUCACUCCAAGGUAUUUAGUGUUCAGCAGAUUGUUCCUUAUUGCCCCUGACUAUAAGGUAUUUAGUGUUCAGCAGAUUGUUCCUUAUUGCCCCUGACUAUAAGGUAUUUAGGGUUCAGCAGAUUGCUCCUUAUUGCCCCUGACUAUAAGGUAUUUAGUGUUCAGCAGAUUGUUCCUUAUUGCCCCUGACUAUAAGGUAUUUAGGGUUCAGCAGAUUGCUCCUUAUUGCCCCUGACUAUAAGGUAUUUAGUGUUCAGCAGAUUGCUCCUUAUUGCCCCUGACUAUAAGGUAUUUAGGGUUCAGCAGAUUGCUCCUUAUUGCCCCUGACUCCCAGGUAUUUAGUGUUCAGCAGAUUGCUCCUUAUUACCGUGUUAAUCUUGACUUUACUUGUUAAUCGCUCCUGAAUCGUGUGAAUAGUCAAAUAUAAUGCUGAAGUAGUUGACAUUUAAAUAUAGGUGGAAGGGCUGAGGAAUGGAUAAGGUUUUAUAUAAACAGGGCUUAUUACAUCUCACUGUAAUAUUCAGCUAAUAGGAGCCCUACUGUAGGUGUAAUUCAAUUAGAACUAUUUCAUGAAGAUGUGGUUGUAUUAUCUCAAGGCAAGGCCCCUCUCCUCUACCAAAUGAAAAGGAUUUUCUGCCCUGCAGCCUAUUGACAUUUUACACAGUGUACAAAACAUUAAGAACACCUGAUCUUUACAUGACAUAGACUGACCAGGUGAACGCAUGACAUAGACUGACCAGGUGAAUGCAUGACAGACUGACCAGGUGAAUCCAUGACACAGACUGACCAGGUGAAUGCAUGACAUAGACUGACCAGGUGAACGCAUGACAUAGACUGACCAGGUGAAUGCAUAACAUAGACUGACCAGGUGAAUGCAUGACAUAGACUGACCAGGUGAAUGCAUGACAUAGACUGACCAGGUGAAUGCAUGACAUAGACUGACCAGGUGAAUGCAUGACAUAGACUGACCAGGUGAACGCAUGACAUAGACUGACCAGGUGAAUGCAUGACAUAGACUGACCAGGUGAAUCCAGGUGAAAGCUAUGAUCCCUUAUUGAGGUCACUUGUUAAAUUCUCUUCAAUCAGUGUAGAUGAAGGUGGAGGAGACAGUUUAAAGAAGGAGUGGUUAAUCCUUGAGACAUGGAUUGUGUGCCAUUCAGAGGAUGAAUGGUCAAGACAAAAUAUUUAAGUGCCUUUGAACGGGGUAUGGUAGUAGGCGCCAGCCGCACCAGUUUAAGUGUGUGAAGAACUGCAACGCUGCUGGAUUUUUCAACAGUUUCCGUGUGUAUUAACAAUGGUCCUCCAUCCAAAGGACAUUCAGCCAAUUGAGACAACUGUGGGAAACACUGGAGUCAACAUGGGCCACUAUCCCUGCGGAACGCUUUCGACACCUUGUGGAGUCCAUGUCCCGACGAAUUGAGGCUGUUCUGAGUGCAAAUGGGGAUACAACUCAAUAUUAAGAAAGUGUUCCUCAUGUUUUGUCCACUCAGUGGUUUUCUAUGCCGCUGACAUCUGAUUUGGUAAGACUGAAAGAGACAUGAUUUAUAUUGAAAAAAUGUCAUUUUGUUUCUGAAUCCAUAUUGUUAAUCGUACUAGAAUGUGUGGGUUGGCAUGGUGAUAAUGUAUGUACAAGUAGUUAGAUGUCUGUUCCUCUGGACUGGAGGUUCCCAGAAGUUGCUUCAACAUACACCCAACCUUACAGCAAUGUUUUUUUUUUUAAAUGAUGUAGAGUUCAUGUUUAGCCAACCAUGAGGCCCUUUGUCAACAUGUACAGACAGUCUUACUUCCCUUGUACUCGUUUAUAUGAUCUGUUAGCUUCACUCGCCUCCCAAAACGUAGUGAAAUAAGGUUCUUGGUGUGUUGAACAUCGACACUGUGGGGAAGAUUGUAAAGGAGUUGAUGUAGUCAUUGAUUAUGUUGCAUGAUGAAAGUCUCAGCCUUCAAGUGAUUUAUCAGAAACAGUAAUGCUGGAAGACUGUUCGUACCUGAAUCGUUCUGUGUACAGAUUUGUCCAUUGCAGCAGUUUGUACUGUAUAUGUAUUUGAUACCGUCUAUGACAACCAAUUAUGUUUUGAAGUCUUUUAAAGAAGCUGAAUUUCAUGACUCCUCUUUGUAUUGCUUAAUGUGGUAGGAGUAUCAGUGUCCCUCUCCCCUCUGUUCAGGUGUCUCUCCCAGUCCUGACAGCCGUCUAUGGGAGGAUCUCAAUGGCCUUUCCUUGAUUUCUAGCAUCCUCGCUUCCUUCUCAGCACGCAUUGGAUGAAAUGGUCAGAUGGGGAGGGAACUCUUACCUUCUCAUCCAAUGGGCUUUUAAGAAGGAGGUGAGAAGAGAGGAUGCGAAGAAUCAAGGAAAAGCAAUUGAGGUUCUCUCCAUGUCUCACCUGGCGUGGCCAGUCUGUUCACAGUUCCACAUAUCCUGUGGCUAGAAAUAUAACUAAAUGAACCAUAAUGUCCCAUAUAAUGUCCCUUAUUUUACACUGACACAAAUGGAUAACUAUAUACCUUUUUUGUUUUGUUUUCCAAUACAAUGAAUGUCGCUCUUUCAAAGGCUUGAUGUAACAGUGAGACAACGGGCCACGUUUUCAGGUUAGUUAUUUACCGAUGCGACAAUGAAUCUGUUGGCUCUCAGCUGAUGUGCUGUUCUCUCCGGUCUCUCUUGUUGUUGUGAGAGAUUUGGAGUCGCUCCUAGAAAUAGAGUCCGCUUCCCAAAUGGCACACUAUUCCCUACGUAGUGCACUACUUAGCCUAGGGCUCUGGUCAAAAGUAGUGCACUAUAUAGUGAAUAGGGUGCCAGUCAGUGCCUGAGAAUCAGCAUCUGAAUAGGACCGUCUGAAUGAAACGGUAUCGCUGGUCUGUUCAGAGCGUUUGUAGCAACAACAAAAACAGCGUGAGGAUUUUCAUAUCCUUGUCCCAUAGGAAAUGACCUCAGUUGCUAUGUCACUUUCUAGGCUACAGCCCUGAGGCCCCUAACUCUGCACGCCUGUCCUCCUGUCACACAGAAAGGGAGUAAAACCAAAACACAAGGAUUCUGUUGGCCUCGACUUGAAGAAUAAAAUGAGAUCAGAUAUCAAAAACUUUUCUAGCAUAGACUUUGGAUAAAUAACCCAGAGAAAAGGAAGUUGUUCUUUGAGAUGAGAGCUAUAGGUGCUAUCGUGGUUUUGUAACAAACUACUUGUGAGUUAUGGAUGUAUGGUGUUGGUGAAUAGCUGCGCGUGUUUGAAAGCCUGCAAAUUGUGGGGGGAAAAAAUAGCACUUUACAAAAGAAAUAAAUCUUCACACAUCUAGAGACCACCAGAUGGCUCAUAGCAAGUGCCAGUAUUAAUAUAGCUGACACUGCCAGCUGUUGUAAGCCGUCUGAAACAACGCAUAGCUGAACACAGCAGCUCAAUCAGGUAAGAACACUGAACAUCCAUCCAGUAGCAGCUCACUUUGUUGACCAUCCCAUCUCCUCCCUCAAAUACACAGGCGUGGAGCAUGUUGCUCUACCAAGGAGAGGAGGUAACGUGGAGAUCCUACUUACGACAGAGGGAGGUCUAUCGGAUAUUCUGUCUAACAACAUGGACCCCUAGUGGUCUGAAUAUUGACUUAGAUCUCAGACCCUUCUGAUGAACAAUAAUUUUUUUUAUGAACAAGCAUUUAAAAAAUCAGUAAAUUCUUUCCACAGGUUAUCAUCGUACACCCAAUAUGUUCCCCCCUGUUGAUGAUGCUUAUUAUGCAUUAGGGUUGAACCAAAAGAUUAUUGGAAACAAUUAUGUGUAUGUGGAAUUAAAUUAAACGAUGUAUGUUGAUGCUAAUAUUUCUGUACAACAUCUAAUUAUGUUUCCAUGUGAUAACAGUAGCCUAAUAUAUUCAAUAUGCUGCAAACUAUUGGUUUAUUAAAACAGUUUCACUCGAUUCAUUCUAAUCAACCUAAUAGUGAUGACACGCCCCUCGCUGUUGUCAUUGGUUGCUCUAAUAGUGAUGACACGCCCCUCGCUGUUGUCAUUGGUUGCUCUAAUAGUGAUGACACGCCCCUCACUGUUGUCAUUGGUUGCUCUAAUACUGACAUACCCCUCACUGUUGUCAUUGGUUGCUCUAAUAGUUAUGACACGCCCCUCACUGUUGUCAUUGGUUGCUCUAAUACUAAUGACAUACUCCUCACUGUUGUCAUUGGUUGCUCUAAUACUAAUGACAUACUCCUCACUGUUGUCAUUGGUUGCUCUAAUACUAAUGACAUGCCCCUCACUGUUGUCAUUGGUUGCUGUAAUACUAAUGACAUACCCCCUCUGUUGUCAUUGGUUGCUGUAAUACUAAUGACAUACCCCCCACUGUUGUCAUUGGUUGCUCUAAUACUAAUGACAUGCCCCUCACUGUUGUCAUUGGUUGCUCUAAUACUAAUGACAUGCCCCUCACUGUUGUCAUUGGUUGCUCUAAUUUCCUUGUUUGUCAACAUAACCUGGUUCCAGCAUUCAUGACAUCACCCUGAAGAAGAAAAAGUGAUGCUGAAAUGUUGCUGUUGCUGGAUUAAAUACAUUAUUUUCCUCAUCAAUUCUACACACAAAAACCCAUAAUGACAAAGUGAAAACAGAAAUGCUUGCAAAUGUAUUAAAAAAAACAGAUACCUUAUUUACAUAAAUAUUCAGACCCUUUGCUAUGACACUCAACAUUGAGCUCAGGUGCAUCUUGUUUCCAUUGAUCAUCCUUGAGAUGUUUCAACAACUUGAUUGAAGCCCAGCUGUGGUAAAUUCAAAUAGAUGGACAUGAUUUGGAAAGAUACACACCCGUCUAUAUAAGGUCCCACAGUUGACAGUGCGUGUCAGAGCAAAAACCAAGCCAUGAGGUCAAAGGAAGUGUCUGUAGAGCUCAGAGACAGGAUUGUGUCGAGGCACAGAUCUGGGGAAGGGUACCAAAAUAAUUAUUGAACGGAGGAAGUUUGGAACCACCAAGGCUUUUCCUAGAACUGUCCGCCUGGCUAAACUGAGCCAAUGGGGGAGAAGGGUGUUGGUCAGGGAGGUGACCAAGAACCAGAUGGUCACUCAAAGAGCUCCAGAGUUCCUCUGUGGAGAUGGGAGAACCUUCAAGAAGGACAACCAUCUCUGCAGCACUCCACCAAUCUGGCCUUUAUGGUAGAGUGGUCAGACGGAAGCCACUCCUCAGUGAAAGGCACAUGACAGCCCGCUUGGAGUUUGCCUAAAUGCACCUAAAGGACUCUCAGACCAUGAGAAACUAGAUUCUCUGGUCUGAUGAAACCAAGAUUGAACUCUUUGGCCUGAAUGCCAAGCGUCACAUCUGGAGGAAACCUGGCACCAUCCCUACUACGGUGAAGCAUAGUGGUGGCAGCAUUAUGCAGUGGGGAUGUUUUUCAGCAGCAGGGACUGUUCCACAUUGACUUGGUAUUUUACCAAAUAGGGCUAUCUUCUGUAUACCACCCCUACCUUGUCACAACACAACUGAUGGGCUCAAACUAAAUAACAAAUUAACUUUUAACAAGGCACACUUGUUAAUUGAAAUGCAUUCCAGGUGACUACCUCAUGAAGCUGGUUGAGAGAAUGCCAAGAGUGUGCAAAGCUGUCAUCAAGGUAAAGGGUGGCUACUUUGAAGAAUCUCAAAUAUAAAAUAUAUUUUGACUUGUUUAACACUUUUUUUUGGUUACUACAUGAUUCCAUAUGUGUUAUUUCAUAGUUUUGAUGUCUUCACUAUUAUUCUACAAUGUAGAACAUAGUAAAAAUUAAGAAAAACCCUUCAAUGAGUAGGUGUGUCCAAAUUUUUGACUGGUGCUAUAUAUAUGUUUAUGAGUGGGAGACUAUUUUAAUAACCGGUAAGUCGUAUGCAAAUCAUAUAUUAUUGGUGUUUUGAGUCCUCUGACAAUUCUAGCAAAAGCUUGUGUAUUCAUGGGGCUGUAGGUGAGCAGAUGGCUGUGUCAUGUCUGUCCAGGUGAGCUCUCAGCACACCAGUAGCUCCAACAUGUUAACUGAUUGGCAGAUCAUUUGACUGGAGAGUUCUCUUCCUAGCUUUUUAUAAGUGAGUUGUGAUUUGCAUCCCAAGUGGCACCCUAUUCUCUACAUAGUGCACUACUUUUGAUCAGAGUUUGCACCCUAUUCCCUAUGUAGUGCACUACUUUUGACCAGAGUGCUAUGGGAAUAGGGUGCCAUUUCAGAAGCAGACAGUGACUAACACACCUGUAAAUACCACAUGUAUGUUUGAUAGGAAGUGUGACUUCAGACUCAGAGAAGCUAAACCAGUCCUUAUCUCUCCCCUCCAGACCGAUGAGGGGGUCUUCAGGAGGUAGCAAGGAAGGGAACAGUGCACUGAGCUGGGGUAUUAGGCUCUGCAUCGCCCCCCCCCUGGGAGCAACAGACUAUGGAGAGUCUGAGACGGAUGCUUCAGUGAGAAAGCACUGGGGCUGGGUUUAAGGGUAACUACCGUCAAAUUUCCAAGUUAUCUUGCCUUUCCAAACUUUUAGAAUCCCAGGCCAACUCUCAGCUUUUAACUUGUCAUUCUCUUCUAAAUGUGCACCAGUGUGGUUUUAGACCUGGGGACGUAUGUACAGUGCAUUCAGAAAGUAUUCAGACACCUUGACUUUUUCCACAUUUUGUUACGUUACAGACUUAUUCUGAAAUGGAUUUAAAUCAUUUUUUCCCCUCAUCAAUCAACACACAAUAUCCCAUAAUGAAAGUCCCAAAAUGGGUUUUUAAAUAUUUUUGCAAAUUGUAUGAAAAACAUCACAUUUACGUCAGUAUUCACACACUUUACUCGGUACUUUGUUGAAGCACCUUUGGCAGCGAUUACAGCCUCGAGUACUCUUGGGUAUGAAGCUACAAGCUUGGCACACCUGUAUUUGGGGAGUUUCUCCCAUUCUUCUCUGCACAUCCUCAAGCUGUCAGGUUGGAUGGGGAGCGUUGCUGCACAGCUAUUAUCAGUGUCGUGUCUUUGGUUAUGCCGUAUUAAGUGAUAUGACAUGCUAUUCUAUAAAAUCAUUUCUCUGUAAUUAAUAUUACCUGAUUAAGCUAAUCAGGUAAAUUUAAUUAGCUAGAAUGUCGGGGCACCACGAAAGAAUAUUUAUAGAGCUGUUAUCUUCCGAAUAAUCUCUUAAAGACCUAGUAAUCUUUUACAUCAAUAGCAGUCAAUAUUUAAUCGUCACCUUAUUUAGUCUCAUCUGAAAGUGGUAAAUUAUUGGUUAUCUUCACGAACCCUGGCUAAGAAGUUUAAUCAGCAUUACAAAAUUUGGUUUAAUUAUGUAUUUACCAAAUACCUAAAUAAUCACACAGAGUUACAUCUCCACAGAAUGGCUCAUACAUUGAUUACAAAUUAUGUCAUAAAGGAAAACGUCCCUAGCGGACGGAACAGAUAUGACGGCUGGUUACACAAAGAAAGGGGGUUGGGUUUGUGUGAAAGAGCGGGAAGACUGAGUAACAAAGGGAGAAGCUAUCGUAAAUACAGUAUCUUAUGCAUUCUAAAUUACCAACCAUUUGAAAAAGGAAAAUGCAAUAAAUAUUCACUCUGAGCUGCGCUUCGGUAGAUUGGUCAUAGAUAGUAGGCCGGGUUGUCCUUUGAAGAAUGUCUGGUGUUAGAAAGGAUACUAGGUAGUACCGUCAUCGUGUAGUAGAAGAGACACUCUGUCCGUCCUCUCCUAGCCCACGUCUACAGUUGCUGCGCUAAAUGCAAAGGCUAGGAGGUAUCACUUCUUUAGUGAACAAGAGUUGCUGUACUUAAAACUUGUUUGGAAUAGGGGGCAGUAUUUUGACAUCCGGAUGAAAACCGUGCCCAAAGUAAACUGCCUGUUACUCAGGCCCAGAAGCUAGGAUAUGCAUGUAAUUGGUAGAUUUGGAUAGAGAACACUCUAAAGUUUCUAAAACUGUUAACAAAACAUCUGUGAGUAUAACAGAACUGAUAUGGCAGGCAAAACCCAGAGGACAAACCAUCCCAAAACAAAUGUUUUCAGCCUAACACUAUUUUCAAUGGCUGUCACUUUUAUUAUAAGGUGUAGUCCUCCCAGAUUGCAGUUCCCAGGGCUUCCACUAGAUGUCAACAGUCUGUAGAAAGAGUUUCAGACUGGGUUUUGGAAAUUGUAGUUUUUCUAGGUGGCUCCCAUUUUGGCUGUAGUGUUUCCAAGCGCGUGAAUGAGAGCGGGUUCUUUGGUAUUUUUCUCCGGUAGAGACAAUAAUUCUCCGUCUUAAAUUUUAUAGUUUAUUUAGCUAUUAGGGUACCUAAGGUUUGAUUAUAAACGUUGUUUGACUUGUUUGGAAAAGUUUAUUAGUAACGUUUGGGAUUCAUUUUGUAUGCAUUUUGAUGGAAACUGGGUGGAUUAUUGACUGAGUUUUUAUGGAUACAAAGAAGGACAUUAUCGAACAAAAGGACCAUUUGUGAUGUAACUGGGACCUUUUGGAGUGCCAACAGAAGAAGAUCAUCAUAGGUAAGGCAUUUAUUAUAUCGCUAUUUCGGACUUUCGUCUCGCACCUGCCUGGUUGAAAUAUGUUUUUCAUGGUUUUGAAUGCAGGGCGCUGUCCUCAGAUAAUCGCAUGGUGUGCUUUCGCCGUAAAGCCUUUUUGAAAUCUGCGGCUGGAUUAACAAGAAGUUCAGCUUUAUUCUGAUGCAUUACACUUCCCCAGAUCUGUGCAUCGACAUAUUCCUGUCUCAGAGCUCUACGGACAAUUCCUUCGACCUCAUGACUUGGUUUUUGCUCUGACAUGCAUUGUCAACUGUGGGACCUUAUAUAGACAGCUGUGUGCCUUUCCAAAUUAUAUCCAAUUCAUAAAAAUCACCACAGGUUGACUCCAAGCAAGUUGUUAAAACGUAUCAAGGAUGGAAACAGAAUGCACCUGAUCUCAAUUUCGAGGCUCAUAGAGAAGGGUGUGAAUACUAAUGUAAAUAAGGUAUUUCAGUUCAUUUGUAAUACAUUGAAAAAAAUAUGUAAAAACCUGUUUUUGCUUUGUUAUUAUGGGGUAUUGUGAUGUCAUUAUGGGGUAUUGUGAUGUCAUUAUGGGGUAUUGUGAUGUCAUUAUGGGGUAUUGUGUGUAGACUGUUUAGAACAAGGCUGUAACGUAACAUAAUGUGGAAGAAGUCAACGGAUAUGAAUACUUUCUGAAUGCCCUGUAUCAACAGAUAUGAAUGCUUUCUGAAUGCCCUGUAUCAACGGAUAUGAAUACUUUCUGAAUGCCCUGUAUCAACGGAUAUGAAUACUUUCUGAAUGCCCUGUAUCAACGGAUAUGAAUACUUUCUGAAUGCCCUGUAUCAACGGAUAUGAAUACUUUCUGAAUGCCCUGUAUCAACGGAUAUGAAUACUUUCUGAAUGCCCUGUAUCAACGGAUAUGAAUACUUUCUGAAUGCCCUGUAUCAACGGAUAUGAAUACAUUCUGAAUGCCCUGUAUCAAGCGUCUUAGAGAAGGAGUGCUGAUCUAGGAUCUGGUUUUCUCUGUCCAUGCAAUCUUAUUCAUUAUGAUAAAUCCUGAUCCUAAAUCAGUACUUCUGCUCUGAGAUGCUCGAUACAUACAGUACCUACAGAAAGUAUUCACGCAGCCUGAAUUUAAAAUGGAUUCAAUUGAGAUGUAUUGUUACUGUCCUAAACACAAUACCCCAUAAUGUCAAAGUGGAAUUAUGUUUUUAGACAUUUUUACAAAUUAAUUAAAAAUGAAAAGCUGAAAUGUCCUGAGUCAAUGACUAUUCAACCCCUUUGUUAUGGCAAGCCUAACUAUAUUCAAGAGUAAAAAUUUGCUUAACAAGUCACAUGGACUCACUCUGUGCGCAAUAAUAGUGUUUAAUUUGUUUUUUUGAAUGACUAUGACUUUUCUCUGUACCCCCCACACAACUAUCUAUCUGUAAGGUCCUUCAGUCAAGCAGUGAAUUUAAAACACAGAUUCAACCUCAAAUACCAGGGAGGUUAUUCAAUGCCUUGCAACGAACGCCACCUAUUAUUUUUUUUUUUAAAUCAGAUAUGAAAUAUCCCUUUGAGCAUGGUGAAGUUAUUAAUUACGCUUUGGAUGGUGUGUCAAUACACCCAGUCACUACAAAGAUGCAGGCGCCCUUCCUAUCUUAGUUGCCAGAGAGGAAGGAAUCAGCACAGGGAUUUCACCUUGAAAACAGUUAGAGUUUAAUGGCUGUGAUAGGAAGAAACUGAGGAUGGAUCAACAACAUUGUAGUUACUCCACAAUACCGACCUAAAUGACAGAGGGAAAAUAACAAAGCCUGUACAAAACAUGCAUCCUGUUUGCAACAUUGCACAAAAAGUAAAACUGCAAAAAAUGUGGCAAAGCAAAUAGCUUUGUCUUGAAUACAAAGUGCAAUGUUUGGAGCAAAUCCAAUACAUUACUGAGUAUCACUCCUUAUAUUUUCAAGCAUAGUGGUGGCCGUAUCAUUUUAUGGGUAUUCUUGUAAUCGUUAAGGACCUGGGAGUGUUUCAGGAUUUAAAAAAAGAAAUGAUCAGCCUUGUCAGCCUUGUCUCAGGAUGGUAAGUUGGUGGUUGAAGAUAUCCCGCUAGUGGUGUGGGGGCUGUGCUUUGGCAAAGUGGGUGGGGUUAUAUCCUUCCUGUUUGGCCCUGUCCGGGGGUGUCCUCGGAUGGGGCCACAGUGUCUCCUGACCCCUCCUGUCUCAGCCUCCAGUAUUUAUGCUGCAGUAGUUUAUGUGUCGGGGGGCUGGGGUCAGUUUGUUAUAUCUGGAGUACUUCUCCUGUCCUAUUCGGUGUCCUGUGUGAAUCUAAGUGUGCGUUCUCUAAUUCUCUCCUUCUCUUUUCUUUCUCUCUCUCGGAGGACCUGAGCCCUAGGACCAUGCCCCAGGACUACCU
Molecule: long non-coding RNA, 11173 nt
Organism: Oncorhynchus tshawytscha (Chinook salmon)
Lineage: Eukaryota; Metazoa; Chordata; Actinopteri; Salmoniformes; Salmonidae
Source: Ensembl